GAUGAAGAACGCAGUGAAAUGCGAUACGUAAUGUGAAUUGCAGAAUUCAGUGAAUCAUCGAGUCUUUGAACGCACAUUGCGCCCCCUGGUAUUCCGGGGGGCAUGCCUGUCCGAGCGUCAUUGCUGCCCUCAAGCACGGCUUGUGUGUUGGGCCUCCGUCCUCCUCCCGGGGGACGGGCCCGAAAGGCAGCGGCGGCACCGCGUCCGGUCCUCGAGCGUAUGGGGCUUCGUCACCCGCUCUUGUAGGCCCGGCCGGCGCUUGCCGACACAUCAAUCUUUUUUCCAGGUUGACCUCGGAUCAGGUAUGGAUACCCGCUGAACUUAAGCAUAUCAAUAAGCGGAGGA
RNAcentral lists this unclassified non-coding RNA (345 nucleotides) under soil metagenome. RNAcentral describes it as "partial contains 5.8S ribosomal RNA, internal transcribed spacer 2, and large subunit ribosomal RNA". The stretch from base 1 to 120 matches the Rfam family "5.8S ribosomal RNA", at positions 35 to 154 of the family's 154-position model. The record is from RNAcentral.